Molecule: long non-coding RNA, 5281 nt
Filed under: Homo sapiens (human)
Lineage: Eukaryota; Metazoa; Chordata; Mammalia; Primates; Hominidae
Description: long non-coding RNA NONHSAT168364.1
Source: RNAcentral
CAGUACACUCACCACAGCCGCUGGCCCGGAUGCUAAGCCCCUCAUUGCCGGGGCGGCAGAGCGGGCCGGCUGCUCCCAGUACGCUGCGUGCCAAAACCACGCCCACCCGGAACUCCAGCUGGCCCGCAAGCGCCGCGCGCAGCCCGGGUUCCCGCUCCCGCUUCUCCCACCACACUUCCCUGCAAGCUGAGAGAAGCGGCUCUGGCCUUGGGCAGCCCAGAAAGGGGCUCCCUCAGUGCAGCGGUGGGCUGAAGGGCUCCUCAAGUGCCGCCAAAGUGGGAGCCCAGGCAGAGGAGGCGCCCAGAGCGAGCGAGGGCUGUGAGGACUGCCAGCACGCUGUCACCUCUCAGAACUAUUUACUCAGAAUGAGUGAAGAGACAGUCUUGCUCUGUUGCCCAGGCCGGAGUGGAGUGGCACAGUCAUAAUUCCCUGUACCCUUGAAAUCCUGAGCUCAAGCCAUCUCCAUACCUUAGCCUCCCAAGUGGCUACUACAGGACUGACUGAUAGUAUUUUCCUUUGGAAGAUCCUUUUAUAUUCUGUCUCUAUGAAAGAAGUGUUUUCAAUGAAAUAAGAUAUUUAUUCCAAAUCAAUCCUGCACCAGAAGCUCCAUUUCUGCAUUCGCUUCCAGAAAACACAGCAGCCGUAUGUGAAUUUGGGAGUGGUCCCACGAACCGGUUAUGAGACGAGGUUUUGGAGCUGGAUCACACCUGACACAACUGGCAUUGAAAACCUUAUUACCAAGAGCCUCUGGCACAAGGCUGCUAUGAAGAAAUACCCAAGACUGGGUACUUUCUCAACUUUCAAAUUGAGCUGUUCAGAAUGUGUGAAACAAUUUUAAGAUGAAGUCAAAGAUACUUGAAGCAGAAGCUGUAUCUGAGGAAGCUGUAUAUAAACCCAAUUUAAAGCAAGAUGAGAACUCAGCACAGGCACUGCAGCCACGGAGGUUUCCAGAUAGAAAAAUUGACACCCCUGAGAUCCCAUAACAUUUUGGGGACUCAUCUGGGAUCUGCGGAAGGAGCUUGACUCUUUUCAUUGGCAAUAAAUGGCGCCCCAACAUGGGGACUCAGAGAAGACUCAGGAGCCCCAAGCAGUUGUCCGAAAUCAGAGCUAAGGUACCAGCCAGGGUUAAUUGAAGACUCACCAAGUUCAAGCUUCUCCUUUGGUGGAACUGUCUCCCUGGCUUGAAAUCAUUGCACCAGAAGAGGCACUGGGACACAGAGCUGAGAUUGAAGAACACUUGAAAAUUAUCAAGAAUGUACUGCGGAGUAUUGAAAUUGCAAGUUAUCAUCAAAGGAAGCUUACUCUUAUUUGUGGAAAACAAACACAGAAAAAAGAAGAAGGAAGGAAGGAAGGAAUCAUACCUUCCCUGUUUCAAAUAACAAGCAUCAAGCAUCGUGAUAAUGUGGACACUAAGGAGCAACAAUUUCUCUAAAGAUAAGAAUAAAGAUAGACUUUUAGACUACGAGAUGGGCCUGAAAAAAUAUCUGAUCAAGCUACUCAGUUUUACAGAUGAAGAAGGUGAAGCCUGGGAAAACCUAAAGAACCUAUAUAAGGUUCUCAGAUAGACACCAUGUUAUCUGCUUGAAUGAAGAAAAUUUGGUAACAUGUUUGCUGAUCUUAAUCUACUAUACAUUUUUUUAGCUUGUCAACUUGAACAAGUUUCUCAAUUAUUUCCUCAUCUAUUUUUUCUGAUAAACUUAACCAAAUCUUGUAAAAUGAAUGUUUUGAAAACGUAUAUCUUAAAGGAGCAUUUUCUAAUUUAAUAUUGAUGUUUUAUUAUUUAUUGAAUCAAGGAAGUUAUGCAUAUUUUGCAUAAAUAUGUGCUACCUUAUGUAUGAUAAUAUUUUUCUCCACAGUCACAUAUUAAUCUGUCCUGACAUUUUUCUAUAAUAAACAUCAUUAUCUGAGACAGAAAUGACAGGAAAAAUUUAUCCAUUUUAAUGAUAUCUAAUUAAAAUUUGUGUCUAACCUUAAUUGAAAUAUAUAUAUAUAUUUCAGUUAGUAAAAAAGGAAAGUCAAUUGAUGAUGCAUUAAGUGUCAGCAUUAUUACAUAGAGAUUGGAAGACAUUAGGUACAAAUGUGAAUCUGCAAGAGUACCAUUUGUAUAUUGCUAAUUACUUGAUACUGUGUCUUUUUAAGAAAGCUGUUACUCUUUAUUCACUCUAGAGCAUUUCAGACAAUUAAUUAGGCAUUCAUUAAUAGAUGAUUAAACAUUUUGUCUCUACAUUGCUUGAAAGGAGUUGUAAAUUACAUCUUGCCCAUGUUGCUAAUUUGCUGUCCAGCAAACAGACUUGCCUGUGGAAAUUUUGUAAAUCAAGCUUAUGAUAUAUUGGCCAUAGAUUGUUUGUCUUCCAAUUCCUCUUAGCUGUUGAUAAUGCAAAUCAAGCCACAUGAAUGAUAACCUGAUAGAAGACACUGCUUUGAAAAGCUAUACUCACAUUAAUACAAACUGUUCAGAAUUGUUAUGUGGAACAUUUCUCUCUAUAAUUGAGAAGAUAAACAUGGCAAAUAAUAUGCUGCUUCAUCAAGUUUUGCAUGUGAAUCAUUCCCAAAGUGAACUUUGAAAAGAGCUCCAUAAAUUCCAUCAGAAAACAAUGAAAUAUAAAACAUCACAGUCCUUUACCAUAGCUAAGCCAGCAAAUAAAUAUCAGGUAUAAAAACUCAUAUUGAUAAAAACCAAACUUUACUUAACGUUACAGAAGUCCAAAUGAUUUUAUCAAGAUAAUAUGUGAUUUAAUAUGUGAAUCUAUAAUAAAGAAUUCUGAGGCUGAGUGUGGUGGCUCAUGUCUGUAAUCCCAGCUCUUUGGGAGACCAAGGCGGGUGGAUCGCCUGACAUUAGGAGUUCGAGACCAACCUGGCCAACAUGGCCAGACCCCAUCUCUACUAAGAAUACAAAAAUUAGCCAGGUUUGGUGGCUCAUGCCUGUAAUCCCAGUUACUCAGGAGGCUGAAGCAUGAGAACUGCUGGAACCUGGAGGCUGCAGUAAGCUGAGAUCGUGCCAUUGCACUCCAGCCUGGGUGACAGAGCAAGACUCAGUCUCAGAAAAAAUAAAUAAAUAAAAAUAAAAAAUAAAAAAAUAAAAUAAAAUUAUGGUCACACAAGUUUCUAGAAAACCAACUUAUUUCUGAGAUAGCCCAGAGGUGACAUACACUGACUAACCCACUGAGAGUAUGUUUUAUUCUUUGCUGAACUACUAGAACCUAGACUAGAGCCUCACAUGCAAAAAGCAUUCAGUAAAAAUUGUGUUUACAGAAAAUUACUAUAGGACAAUAAUUAUGUCUUAUAAGUGGGUUUGUUUAAAGGGUUUAUCAUUUAUUCUAAGUCACACAUUUUACUCAGAAAUACUAGCUUUGUCCUGGAAAGUUCAAUUAAAUAGAGAAAAGGAACAAGAACAUACAUUCAAGCCAAAAUAAGCAAAGCUUUGCCUCAAGAAGGGUUGAUGGAAAAAACAGAAAACAGAAAGCACUACAGUUUAAUGAGUUACAGACUGCUCAGCAGAAAAGACAACAUAGACAUAUAAUACAGGUCUUUCUGCUAAUAUAUUCCUUUCUUUGCUUAAAACUAAGUACAGAUAUUACUUUGGAACCCUUUGAAUGUGGGAAAUUAGUUUCCUCCUCAGCAUUGUCCUCUACUACUUUUCGGAGUAUAAUGUGUAUGACAUUCUCUCAGUAAAAUUUUGAUACACUUGAUAGUUGAAGGUUAAAGAAGAGUAGAAAUCAUCUUAACACCUUACUAAUGGGAAAUUUUUUCAUAGGAAUACACAUAAUUUCCAGAAAGUUACCUUUUUAUAGAGGGCAUCAUGCAUAAUAACACCUUUUGGCUCAAAAUAGAAAUUAUUUUUAAGCUUAUACUUUUGCCAUACGUUAGAGCAACUACUGAUUUAGAUUGUUCUGUUUUACUGUUCUAGAAUCAUUCCACACUUGCCUCUUGGCAUCCAUAAUCAGAAAAGUAAAUCAAGAAAUAAACUAUAAACUGAUCAAUGUUUUAUUAUUUUCCUUAUAGCCUUUUAUUUUACCAUGAGGAGUUUCUGUAUGUAAGGCACUUUAGAAUAUGAAUGAUUUUCAUGGCAUACACAUAAGGGACUAUUAAAAACAACUGACAUGUUUUUGGUAAAGUAUUUGACUGUUUAUUCUUCAUGUAACUGAAAAUAUUCAGCAUUGAAAGAGUUUGCAUUUCAUGAUGGCUACAAAGUUGAAAUUUACAUUCUGGUUUCUUAAAGGCAGGAACUACAUUCUGCAAAGGGCAAAUUUCAAAAGACAAAACUUAAUCCUUAUACUAGCAAAAGUUUGAUUAGAUAAGUUCUACAUACUUAGCUGCUUAUAUAAAUACAGGUGGCUGAGGCUGAAAAUGAAUGCCCCAGGAAGAAGUAAAUCAAUUUUACAAAAAUUAUCAAAUGGCAUAAUGAUGGGCACACAAUGCCCUCCACCCACAGCUGUUCUUGCAUUUCUAACAUAAAAGGCAGCACAAGACAGAAGGGAAACACUGACAAAUAGAUUGGUUCUGCCAUUUCCUUAGCAUUAUGUGCCCUGUCACUUUUUGAAUUUCUUAGAUAAGAUGCAAUUUCUCUUUAGUUUUUAAUGCCCUUUUAGAUAUUUUUUGUUACAGGAUUCGUUACCAUGAAUCCAAGGGACUUUAUUUUGGCACUUUGACAGAAAGGAUUGGACUGCUUAAACAAGAACUAAUAAAUAGCUUCCAUUUCCUACAUGAAAAAAGUAAUACAUGUUUAUGCUGUUUCCUGGAUUGCACAUGUAACUGGCAGCAAGAAACACCCUCGGAAUAGUAAUCAUAAAAUAUCCUUGUUUAUUCCAAAGCAUAACUAUAGAAAUGUGUGACAAUCUGAAUUUCUUUUGUAUGCCAAAAUAUGCUGAGAAAGUACUAAUGAAUGCUGUGCCAUUCUAAUUUUGUAUUAAUGAAAUAAUUUAUUAUUUUUUCAGUUUUAAUUAAAAUUGGCUUUGCAUCAAACUGUGCUUAUCACAUUGAUCACAUGAUAAAAAGGGAAUUUUGUCAUUUAUCAAUAAAAAUGAUUAUGUGUAUUAUCUAACCAUUAAUGACACAUUUUAGAGUGUGAAGAUGUUGGCACACAUUUUCAUUAUUUUUUUGUUUCCUGAAAAAAUAAUUUAUUAUUGCCAUGUUUAUGGUUCCAUCCUGUGCAAUUAAUUAUUACAGAACAAAGCAAGACUAACAAAAGUUUUGAUAGUAAUACAAGCAGUCAGAUUGAAAUUUCAGUCUUUUGGCUAUUGACAUAAGUUUCAUAUCAGUAAUAAAUUACUUGAGGUGUCAA